CGGUGGUCCCACCUGACCCCAUGCCGAACUCAGAAGUGAAACGCUGUAGCGCCGAUGGUAGUGUGGGGUCUCCCCAUGCGAGAGUAGGGAACUGCCAGGC
RNAcentral lists this ribosomal RNA (100 nucleotides) under Salmonella enterica. Lineage: Bacteria; Pseudomonadati; Pseudomonadota; Gammaproteobacteria; Enterobacterales; Enterobacteriaceae. The record is from RNAcentral. RNAcentral also lists the same sequence under 2 other names.